RNAcentral lists this non-coding RNA (32 nucleotides) under Geobacter sulfurreducens KN400. Lineage: Bacteria; Pseudomonadati; Thermodesulfobacteriota; Desulfuromonadia; Geobacterales; Geobacteraceae. The record is from RNAcentral.
CUGGAGUUGGAGAGCAACGAACGCCUCGCCCA